CUCGACUAAGUCAUAGGAAUUUCCAACCUGCGCACACCACAGUACCAACGCAGUAAUUUCAGCAUGUUGCAUCCUACACGUGUUCGGUAUGAGGAAAGUUCGUCGGAAAAUGCGUCACCUUUAAUUGUCAGCCACCCAUUAUAAAACUAGCCGACGGCGUUGAACACAGCAAGAGCCGUUACUGAAGAAGUCAUCUCGAUUGCCUAUCAAUUGACCGAUCACUGCAAGAAAUGCCUUGCUGCCUGAGAAUACAGACACUCGCCGUGGCUGUCAUCACGCUUGCCAUGCUGGCCGUGGUAUCGGGACGCCCCGGAUCAGAAGUGGACAGUAACGGAGAAGCAUCAAGCAGAGCAGACAGCGAAUGGAACCUGGGUUCUAUGGCGAAAGGGUUACAACCCUAUUGGGCUUCCAUUGUUCAAAAAAUUAUAGAAUUCGUAAAACGUCUUGCUGGAUUAUAAUUUGGAAAACAGUGAUCAACCUAUAUAAUCAUUUUUGUGCAUUGGCGUUUCCAAGGCUUUCACUCUUGCUUAGACGGAAUGAACGAAUCUGUUUUUCCUGCUGAAGAAACAAUAAAGUUGAAGCGAUUGGACCAUCGCUGUUUUAUUGGUCCUGACA
Dermacentor albipictus is the source of this 615-nucleotide long non-coding RNA. RefSeq lists it as uncharacterized. NCBI's taxonomy places the organism in Eukaryota, Metazoa, Arthropoda, Arachnida, Ixodida, Ixodidae. The record is from RefSeq and is a predicted model, not a curated record.